CCAAGCAGGUGUCGGUGAAGACCAAAAUUAUCGUAAUAUAAUUGGCCACCUGUGUUAAGCAACACCUGCCUUGAGAGGUCGCCAGUGGUGAUAUAAAAAUCACAGGUAUCAAGCAGAUGACGUUAUUUGAGAAAUACUGGAGAAUGAUGCCUCUAUGUGUGGAAUACGACUACAAUGGGGUGAACUGGACACUACUACAAUUAAUGGAGGGACGCUACUUACACACAUCGUCUUGGCUGGAUGCUGGUUAGCUUUUCCGGUUAGUUUUGUUUACUGGCAUCUAUAUCGAGACGUCGGAAAUUAGUAUCUACACACUGGAAGCAAGACUAAUUCAAUGGGAUGAAAACGGUAACUCGUGGGAUGGCGUCACUAAGCUGGGUUCAGAAGCAUAAUCACUGGCUUAUACAGGAGGACGGGCCCUCGCGAAGAAUUUGGCUUCUACCAUAACAUUCUAUCAUAUCACUUUGAUUUAAUGUUAGGCUCGCUAGGCUGGGUGUUUUUUUUUUUUUUUUUUUUUUUGGGGGGGGGGGGGGGUGCGUCUUACGUUAGAUGAACAUAACAUGAAAGAAGACGAUAGUACCAGUCUAAUUGUUCGUCGAGCGCUCGGCCUUCUGAACACAUCACUGUUCUACUGGCCAAUUCAGAAGCAGCACGUUAAAACUGCUUAACAGUUUGAACAGCCUAAAAUGGCAGGAGCUAACUUCUGUUAGACUAUUCUAAGAAUUAAACCAAUUAUUGGAUUGUUCGUUGUUAUCUGAGAUAUUAUUAAUUAUAUUAUUUAUAUCUUUUGAUCAUUUGUCUGUCAGAGUUGAUGCAUUCCUCAUUCUUCCACCCCCACCUUAAGGAAACAGUAACCCUGUAGUUGCCGCAUCUUCAAAACUCGUUUGCAGUAAGCACGCACCAUACAUUUGGUAGUAUUUCAUUAAGAGGUUCAACAAAUAAAAAUUUGAUACCACACGC
Gigantopelta aegis is the source of this 960-nucleotide long non-coding RNA. RefSeq lists it as uncharacterized. The record is from RefSeq and is a predicted model, not a curated record. The transcript is spliced from 3 exons. Lineage: Eukaryota; Metazoa; Mollusca; Gastropoda; Neomphalida; Peltospiridae.